This 496-nucleotide ribosomal RNA is filed under the name uncultured bacterium. Its description in RNAcentral is "partial 16S ribosomal RNA". It matches the Rfam family "Bacterial small subunit ribosomal RNA", at positions 29 to 507 of the family's 1533-position model. The record is from RNAcentral.
AUGAACGCUGGCGGCGUGCCUAAUACAUGCAAGUCGAGCGAACGGACGAGAAGCUCGCUUCUCUGAUGUUAGCGGCGGACGGGUGAGUAACACGUGGAUAACCUACCUAUAAGACUGGGAUAACUUCGGGAAACCGUAGCUAAUACCGGAUAAUAUUUUGAACCGCAUGGUUCAAAAGUGAAAGACGGUCUUGCUGUCACUUAUAGAUGGAUCCGCGCUGCAUUAGCUAGUUGGUAAGGUAACGGCUUACCAAGGCAACGAUGCAUAGCCGACCUGAGAGGGUGAUCGGCCACACUGGAACUGAGACACGGUCCAGACUCCUACGGGAGGCAGCAGUAGGGAAUCUUCCGCAAUGGGCGAAAGCCUGACGGAGCAACGCCGCGUGAGUGAUGAAGGUCUUCGGAUCGUAAAACUCUGUUAUUAGGGAAGAACAUAUGUGUAAGUAACUGUGCACAUCUUGACGGUACCUAAUCAGAAAGCCACGGCUAACUACGUG